GACGAACGCUGGCGGCGUGCUUAACACAUGCAAGUUGAACGGAAAGGCCCUGCUUUUGUGGGGUGCUCGAGUGGCGAACGGGUGAGUAACACGUGAGUAACCUGCCCUUGACUUUGGGAUAACUUCAGGAAACUGGGGCUAAUACCGGAUAGGAGCUCCUGCUGCAUGGUGGGGGUUGGAAAGUUUCGGCGGUUGGGGAUGGACUCGCGGCUUAUCAGCUUGUUGGUGGGGUAGUGGCUUACCAAGGCUUUGACGGGUAGCCGGCCUGAGAGGGUGACCGGCCACAUUGGGACUGAGAUACGGCCCAGACUCCUACGGGAGGCAGCAGUGGGGAAUAUUGCACAAUGGGCGGAAGCCUGAUGCAGCAACGCCGCGUGCGGGAUGACGGCCUUUGGGUUGUAAACCGCUUUCGCCUGUGACGAAGCGUGAGUGACGGUAAUGGGUAAAGAAGCACCGGCUAACUACGUG
Molecule: ribosomal RNA, 468 nt
Filed under: uncultured bacterium
Lineage: Bacteria
Description: partial 16S ribosomal RNA
Rfam family: Bacterial small subunit ribosomal RNA
Source: RNAcentral